CCUACGGGUGGCUGCAGUGGGGAAUAUUGCACAAUGGGGGAAACCCUGAUGCAGCGACGCCGCGUGAGUGAUGAAGGAUUUCGGUAUGUAAAGCUCUGUCAGCAGGGAAGAAAAUGACGGUACCUGAGUAAGAAGCCCCGGCUAACUACGUGCCAGCAGCCGCGGUAAUACGUAGGGGGCAAGCGUUAUCCGGAUUUACUGGGUGUAAAGGGAGCGUAGACGGUGAUGCAAGUCAGAAGUGAAAGGCCAGGGCUCAACCCUGGGACUGCUCUUGAAACUGUACGGCUAGAGUGCAGGAGAGGUAAGCGGAAUUCCUAGUGUAGCGGUGAAAUGCGUAGAUAUUAGGAGGAACACCAGUGGCGAAGGCGGCUUACUGGACUGUAACUGACGUUGAGGCUCGAAAGCGUGGGGAGCAAACAGGAUUAGAUACCCUAGUAGUC
RNAcentral lists this ribosomal RNA (440 nucleotides) under uncultured bacterium. Its description in RNAcentral is "partial 16S ribosomal RNA". It matches the Rfam family "Bacterial small subunit ribosomal RNA", at positions 338 to 795 of the family's 1533-position model. The record is from RNAcentral.